RNAcentral lists this ribosomal RNA (774 nucleotides) under uncultured Neocallimastigales. RNAcentral's name for it is "partial large subunit ribosomal RNA". It matches the Rfam family "Eukaryotic large subunit ribosomal RNA", at positions 26 to 616 of the family's 3401-position model. The record is from RNAcentral. Lineage: Eukaryota; Fungi; Neocallimastigomycota; Neocallimastigomycetes; Neocallimastigales.
CGCAUCUGUGCAUGCAGCAUAUCAAUAAGCGGAGGAAAAGAAACUAACAAGGAUUCCCCUAGUAACGGCGAGUGAAGCGGGAAGAGCUCAAAUUUGAAAUCUUAAAGGGUUUCCCUUUACGAAUUGUAGUUUAAAGAAGUGUUUUCUGUUGAGGUUUUGGUAAAAGUUCUUUGGAAUAGGACAUCAUAGAGGGUGAGAAUCCCGUAUUUGACCUUUACUUUCAACUUUGUGAUACACUUUCAAAGAGUCGGAUUGUUUGGGAAUGCAGUCCAAAAUGGGUGGUAAAUUUCAUCUAAAGCUAAAUAUUGGCGAGAGACCGAUAGCGAACAAGUACCGUGAGGGAAAGAUGAAAAGAACUUUGAAAAGAGAGUUAAACAGUACGUGAAAUUGUCAAAAGGGAAGCGUUUGACACCAGUGUUGUUUUUCUGAAAAUCAAUUAAAGAACUGUUUAUGCUAAGCUGUUUAGACUUUAUCAGCUAUCUGUUUAGUUUUGAGCUUUUCUUUAAUGCACUUUUCAGUUAACAAGUCAACAUCAAUUUCUUUUGCUGUAAAAAAGCUUGAGGAAGGUGGCUUGAGAUUCGUCUUAAGUGUUUAUAGCCUCUUGCCUAUGCAGUCGGAGAGAUUGAGGUCUGCAGCGUAGAUCCUUCGGGGCUAAAUGCAUUUGUGCUAAGUUAUAGCAUUUUAUAGACAACUUGUUGACUAUGAUUUGUCUUGUAGCUUACUCGCUUAUGUUAUUUUACCUACGCUUAGGAUGUUGAGCGCAUGUCUCUCUCU